This 485-nucleotide ribosomal RNA is filed under the name uncultured Thiobacter sp. RNAcentral describes it as "bacterial SSU rRNA". It matches the Rfam family "Bacterial small subunit ribosomal RNA", at positions 8 to 488 of the family's 1533-position model. Lineage: Bacteria; Pseudomonadati; Pseudomonadota; Betaproteobacteria; Burkholderiales; Thiobacteraceae. The record is from RNAcentral.
AGAGUUUGAUCCUGGCUCAGAUUGAACGCUGGCGGCAUGCUUUACACAUGCAAGUCGAACGGGGUGGUGGGGCAACCUGCCACUCAGUGGCGAACGGGUGAGGAGAGCAUCGGAACGUGUCUGCUUGUGGGGGAUAACCAGUCGAAAGAUUGGCUAAUACCGCAUGAGAUCGCAAGAUGAAAGCAGGGGACCCGCAAGGGCCUUGCGCGAGCGGAGCGGCCGAUGUCCGAUUAGCUAGUCGGUGGGGUAACGGCCCACCGAGGCGACGAUCGGUAGCGGGCCUGAGAGGGUGGUCCGCCACACUGGGACUGAGACACGGCCCAGACUCCUACGGGAGGCAGCAGUGGGGAAUUUUGGACAAUGGGGGCAACCCUGAUCCAGCCAUGCCGCGUGGGUGAAGAAGGCCUUCGGGUUGUAAAGCCCUUUCGGCGGGAACGAAAUCGCCUGGGAUAACACCGCAGGCGGAUGACGGUACUCGCAGAAGA